This 497-nucleotide ribosomal RNA is filed under the name uncultured bacterium. RNAcentral describes it as "partial 16S ribosomal RNA". It matches the Rfam family "Bacterial small subunit ribosomal RNA", at positions 28 to 507 of the family's 1533-position model. The record is from RNAcentral.
GACGAACGCUGGCGGCGUGCCUAAUACAUGCAAGUUGAGCGAUGAAGAUUGGUGCUUGCACCAAUUUGAAGAGCAGCGAACGGGUGAGUAACGCGUGGGGAAUCUGCCUUUGAGCGGGGGACAACAUUUGGAAACGAAUGCUAAUACCGCAUAAUAACUUUAAACAUAAGUUUUAAGUUUGAAAGAUGCAAUUGCAUCACUCAAAGAUGAUCCCGCGUUGUAUUAGCUAGUUGGUGAGGUAAAGGCUCACCAAGGCGAUGAUACAUAGCCGACCUGAGAGGGUGAUCGGCCACAUUGGGACUGAGACACGGCCCAAACUCCUACGGGAGGCAGCAGUAGGGAAUCUUCGGCAAUGGACGAAAGUCUGACCGAGCAACGCCGCGGGAGGGAAGAAGGUUUUCGGAUCGUAAAACUCUGUUGGUAGAGAAGAACGUUGGUGAGAGUGGAAAGCUCAUCAAGUGACGGUAACUACCCAGAAAGGGACGGCUAACUACGUG